UGGCGAACGGGUGAGUAACACGUGGGCAAUCUGCCCUUCACUCUGGGACAAGCCCUGGAAACGGGGUCUAAUACCGGAUACGACACUCUCGGGCAUCCGAUGAGUGUGGAAAGCUCCGGCGGUGAAGGAUGAGCCCGCGGCCUAUCAGCUUGUUGGUGAGGUAACGGCUCACCAAGGCGACGACGGGUAGCCGGCCUGAGAGGGCGACCGGCCACACUGGGACUGAGACACGGCCCAGACUCCUACGGGAGGCAGCAGUGGGGAAUAUUGCACAAUGGGCGAAAGCCUGAUGCAGCGACGCCGCGUGAGGGAUGACGGCCUUCGGGUUGUAAACCUCUUUCAGCAGGGAAGAAGCGAAAGUGACGGUACCUGCAGAAGAAGCGCCGGCUAACUACGUGCCAGCAGCCGCGGUAAUACGUAGGGCGCGAGCGUUGUCCGGAAUUAUUGGGCGUAAAGAGCUCGUAGGCGGUCUGUCGCGUCGGAUGUGAAAGCCCGGGGCUUAACCCCGGGUCUGCAUUCGAUACGGGCAGACUAGAGUGUGGUAGGGGAGAUCGGAAUUCCUGGUGUAGCGGUGAAAUGCGCAGAUAUCAGGAGGAACACCGGUGGCGAAGGCGGAUCUCUGGGCCAUUACUGACGCUGAG
This 641-nucleotide ribosomal RNA is filed under the name Streptomyces sp. Its description in RNAcentral is "bacterial SSU rRNA". It matches the Rfam family "Bacterial small subunit ribosomal RNA", at positions 96 to 750 of the family's 1533-position model. The record is from RNAcentral. Lineage: Bacteria; Bacillati; Actinomycetota; Actinomycetes; Kitasatosporales; Streptomycetaceae.